RNAcentral lists this ribosomal RNA (253 nucleotides) under uncultured bacterium. Its description in RNAcentral is "partial 16S ribosomal RNA". It matches the Rfam family "Bacterial small subunit ribosomal RNA", at positions 524 to 776 of the family's 1533-position model. The record is from RNAcentral.
UACGUAGGGGGCAAGCGUUGUUCGGAAUUAUUGGGCGUAAAGGGCUCGUAGGCGGUCUGUUGCGUCGGGAGUGAAAACUUACAGCUUAACUGUGAGCGUGCUUCCGAUACGGGCAGACUUGAGGUAUUCAGGGGAGAACGGAAUUCCUGGUGUAGCGGUGAAAUGCGCAGAUAUCAGGAGGAACACCGGUGGCGAAGGCGGUUCUCUGGGAAUAUCCUGACGCUGAGGAGCGAAAGUGUGGGGAGCGAACAGG